AUGGUACAGCAGGUCUGCUCAAUUGUUUACUGGCUUGGAAUGUCAAAGGACAUCCAGUUGGCCAGGAAGUGCUGCGCAGAUUGUAACCUCAAUGCCCCUUCACAGGUAGCCACGCCCCCUAUGCCGGCAUCACCACCAUCCACACCAUUUGAGGAGGUGUUCGCGGAUUUCUUUGACUACAUGGGUCACCACUACCUGGUCAUUGGGGAUCGUCUCUGUUGCUGGGUGGAAGUAAUGAGCUCUCCCGUGAGCACUAACCUCGGGGGCUCCAAUGGGCUAAUCCAUCACUUAAGGGCUUUCGUCGCCACAUUUGUUGUACCAGAGGAGCUUUUGAGUGAUGGGGGCCCGGAGUUCUCUGCAGGGUGCACAGCAGACUCCCUCUGCUUGUGGCAGGUCAAGUACUGUGUGUCUUUGCUUGGGUUCCCCCUGUCUAAUGGUAGGGCGGAGGUGGCUGUCAAGACAGCAAAGUGUCUCCUAGUCUCAAACACCAACCGCACCUGGAGUCUUGACCAUGACCGCUCCUUCGUGCAAUGGUGCAACUGCGUAACACACCUGACCAUGACUGCGACCUAUCUCUCUCGCAAAUUAUCUUUGGCCACCCCCUCAGGGACUCGCUGUUGUUUUUUCAAUAGGCUGGAGAAGUUCUCCAAACCUCACAUUCGGCCGCUCUGGCGUCAGGCAUGGGCAGUGAAGGAAGAGGCCCUCUGUACUCGGAUGGCUGGCACUACUGAGUCCUGGAGGGAGCACGUGCGACUGCUCCGCUCACUUGUAGUUAGGGAGGUGGUGUUUCCCCAGAACCAAGUGGGCUAUACCCCACGGGCAUGGGACAGAUCUGGAGUAGUAGUGGAGUCACUGGGACACGAUCAUUACCAUGUCAUGGUCGAUGGGUCGGGCUGCCUCACCCUGCGCAACCGGCAAUUUCUCUGUGCCUUCACCCCGGCCACCCCUGGCACUAACCCAGAGGGCACUGCGUCCCUGCCUAUGUCUGACAACAAGACACAUGAGCUAGGUCCUGCCGACCCAGGGUUGACGAAACCCCUGCCAGGUCCGUCACAUAUGACUCCUGAGUCCCCAGGCACGGACCCUGGCGCCGUCCCGCCAGUACCUCGUCGCAACUCCACGUCAACCAACGAGCCCCUAGAUGUAGCCCACAGGGAUGCUGCCCCAGCGGCGCGGAUUCCGGAACGUUGCCUGUCACCUCCCUCACCCCGGCCAGCGAGCUUUGGUUGGGUGAGGCGGCCAGCCAUGCGGUAUGUACCUGAAACUGGCCUGUGGGUUAGGUCAUGA
RNAcentral lists this long non-coding RNA (1287 nucleotides) under Nothobranchius furzeri (turquoise killifish). RNAcentral describes it as "lncRNA (ENSNFUG00015009871.1)". The record is from RNAcentral. Lineage: Eukaryota; Metazoa; Chordata; Actinopteri; Cyprinodontiformes; Nothobranchiidae.